This 98-nucleotide small nuclear RNA is filed under the name Pogona vitticeps (central bearded dragon). The record is from RNAcentral. Lineage: Eukaryota; Metazoa; Chordata; Lepidosauria; Squamata; Agamidae.
CUGCUUGCUUCACCAGCAUGUAUACUAAUAUUUGAUACAAAGAAGAUUAGCAUGGUUGUCUGUGCAAGGAUGAUAUUUGUGAAGCAUUCCAUAUUUUU